Non-coding RNA from Triticum urartu, 432 nucleotides. Lineage: Eukaryota; Viridiplantae; Streptophyta; Magnoliopsida; Poales; Poaceae. The record is from RefSeq and is a predicted model, not a curated record.
AAGUUCGCAUCGGUAAAAGUCCCUUGUCCCGAUGGAAGACUUGGCUUCUUCAGUGAGCAUGCUCCAAUACUACACUACCAUUCAACCUAGUGUGAGCUGAAGCUGGGGAAUUUCGGGCUUUGUUUGAUGGUGUUGCUCCUCUUCCGAGGAAGAUACAUUUAGAGGAGACUCGAGAAGACAUGAAAGCUGCGGCCAAAUUGCAAUGGUAAUUGAUUAACAUUAAAUGUCCAAAGCGCAAUAUCAUCAGUAGUCAAUAAGAGUAAUUUGCUAUCAGCAUUAAUUCAUCCAUGACUAUGAGAUAUAUUAACUCUUGAAAAUGUUGAACUGGGUAGCAUUUUUUGUGACUUAUCAGUUUUGAAGGACAGCUAGAGACUAUUGAUUUUAAAUCGUCGACACAUGAUUUGCUUUAUACAAAUGAUGUUUGGGUGCAUU